GUACGGGGACAACAACACACUGUACAUCACCCGGAGAGAGACUACCUUCCCGGGGAUCAGCAUGUCACAUUGCGCUAAAUGUCAUCGGGUCCCCGUUAUAGGAUGCUUACUCAAUUGUCAUAAUUUCUUUAACCCUCUGACCGCGGGCAACGCGCAAAUCCCGUUUCUCUUGUUUCGCGAGGUUUUCUGGGGCUCGACACAAUUGCGUCGCACUUUGUUGAUGGGGUGUCCGAGCUCUUUGGCCCGGUUCUAGGCUUCCCGAAUGAUGACCUCCUUUGUUCCUGUCGCUGCUGGGCUUUCUUGGGAAAUCAUUGGAUCUUAAUCGGAAGAUGCACUGUGUUCGGAUUGCGGAUUUUAUGCGUUUACGACAGAAAUGGAUGGGAGAAAUGUGAAGAAGUGGAAAGAUGUAUAAAAAUGUGACAAGUGAGAACAUUGACGUAAUAUAAAAAUAUAUGAAAAGUGAGGACAUUCAUAUAAUAUAGAAGUACGAAAAGUGAGAACAUCGAUAAAAUAUAAAAAUCUGGAACAUGAAAGGAUUGACAUGAUAUAAGAAUAUGAAAAGUGAAAACGUUAAAAGAAACCAAAGAAUGUUGACGUAUUAAUUUCAACGUACUAAAAUUGUUUAGAAAGGAGUAAAGUUGCAUUUGGCUCCUAUGUUUUGCAAUUCAUGCGGACAGGUUUUAUUUUUCAUGAAGAUUCACACUCAAAUUAUAAUUAAAAUUUUGGCGUGCCUAAAUAAAUUGAUCCUGUCGUCGAUAUAAAAAACAACACUGCUUAACAGUGAAAAGUGAACUAUAAAACAAGUUGAUUUAGGGCAAUUUUUGGAAGGUGGUUUUUAAAUUUCAAAUACGGUUUUUAAUAGCAGAAUUAAUACGCGAACAUGGAUUAGUUGUUUAAUUUAAAACGGUGACGUAUUGACGUGAAAUCAUCACAUAAGCAUAUUGUGAUAAAACUAAUUUUCACGGAACAGGGAAAUGGUGACAUGCAAGUCUAUACUGUGCUAUUCUAUGUGCCAGCAUAUAUGCAAACUGUUCGAUGAUAACACACUUUAUGUGGUUUGAAAUUAUAUUUCCUGAACAAAAUAAUAAGUGAUAAUUGAUAUGUCA
This is a long non-coding RNA of Megalopta genalis, 1106 nucleotides long. RefSeq lists it as uncharacterized. The record is from RefSeq and is a predicted model, not a curated record. Lineage: Eukaryota; Metazoa; Arthropoda; Insecta; Hymenoptera; Halictidae.